This 497-nucleotide ribosomal RNA is filed under the name uncultured bacterium. RNAcentral's name for it is "partial 16S ribosomal RNA". It matches the Rfam family "Bacterial small subunit ribosomal RNA", at positions 28 to 507 of the family's 1533-position model. The record is from RNAcentral.
GAUGAACGCUGGCGGCGUGCCUAAUACAUGCAAGUCGAGCGAACAGAUGAGGAUCUUGCUCCUCUGACGUUAGCGGCGGACGGGUGAGUAACACGUGGAUAACCUACCUAUAAGACUGGGAUAACUUCGGGAAACCGGAUCUAAUACCGGAUAAUAUAUUGAACCGCAUGGUUCAAUAGUGAAAGACGGUUUUGCUGUCACUUAUAGAUGGAUCCGCGCCGCAUUAGCUAGUUGGUAAGGUAACGGCUUACCAAGGCAACGAUGCGUAGCCGACCUGAGAGGGUGAUCGGCCACACUGGAACUGAGACACGGUCCAGACUCCUACGGGAGGCAGCAGUAGGGAAUCUUCCGCAAUGGGCGAAAGCCUGACGGAGCAACGCCGCGUGAGUGAUGAAGGUCUUCGGAUCGUAAAACUCUGUUAGUAGGGAAGAACAAAUGUGUAAGUAACUAUGCACGUCUUGACGGUACCUAAUCAGAAAGCCACGGCUAACUACGUG